This 484-nucleotide ribosomal RNA is filed under the name uncultured bacterium. RNAcentral describes it as "partial 16S ribosomal RNA". It matches the Rfam family "Bacterial small subunit ribosomal RNA", at positions 30 to 507 of the family's 1533-position model. The record is from RNAcentral.
AUUGAACGCUGGCGGCAGGCCUAACACAUGCAAGUCGAGCGGAUGAAGGGAGCUUGCUCCUGGAUUCAGCGGCGGACGGGUGAGUAAUGCCUAGGAAUCUGCCUGGUAGUGGGGGAUAACGUCCGGAAACGGGCGCUAAUACCGCAUACGUCCUGAGGGAGAAAGUGGGGGAUCUUCGGACCUCACGCUAUCAGAUGAGCCUAGGUCGGAUUAGCUAGUUGGUGGGGUAAAGGCCUACCAAGGCGACGAUCCGUAACUGGUCUGAGAGGAUGAUCAGUCACACUGGAACUGAGACACGGUCCAGACUACUACGAGAGGCAGCAGUAGGGAAUAUUGGACAAUGAGCGAAAGCCUAAUCCAGACAUGACGCAUGUGUGAAGAAGAUCUUCGGAUAGUAAAGCACUUUAAGUGGGGAGGAAGAGCAGUAAGUUAAUACCUUGCUGGGUUGACGUUACCAACAGAAUAAGCACCGGCUAACGUCGUG